Non-coding RNA from Paramuricea clavata, 398 nucleotides. The record is from the annotation of a GenBank genome assembly. Lineage: Eukaryota; Metazoa; Cnidaria; Anthozoa; Malacalcyonacea; Plexauridae.
CAAGCUUUCUACCCCCUGAGUGACCCAGUUGUGGUAUUUACAUAAACAUACCAUGCAAGUACACUUAACUGAUCAGAUUCGGUCUAUCAACGCACAAUGUAACGCUGUAUAUCCAAAAAUCUGUUUCAGAAAAUGCUCAGAGGAAAAUGCUCACAUUUCAAUUCUAGGGGUGGAAAAAUAAAAAAAAUUUUCUGGGGGAGAAUACCCCCAGACCCCUAGUACAUACGAUACCACACCAAACUUUUUGUCACCAACAACCAUCUGUCAUCUCUCCACACUCAAUAUAGUAUGGUCCCUUUUUGUAGAUGCCCACCCCCCAGACAAGUUCUUAAAAAAAACCUGUGUUCAAAUCAUUUCGCUGUAUGAAGACGGGUCAUGGGUUAGGGUUAUGGUAGGAC